This 448-nucleotide ribosomal RNA is filed under the name uncultured bacterium. Its description in RNAcentral is "partial 16S ribosomal RNA". It matches the Rfam family "Bacterial small subunit ribosomal RNA", at positions 29 to 523 of the family's 1533-position model. The record is from RNAcentral.
AACGAACGCUGGCGGCAUGCCUAACACAUGCAAGUCGAACGAAGGCUUCGGCCUUAGUGGCGCACGGGUGAGUAACGCGUGGGAAACUGCCUAUUGGAGGGGAAUAACGACGGGAAACUGUCGCUAAUACCGCAUAAGCCCUUCGGGGGAAAGAUUUAUCGCCGAUAGAUGUGCCCGCGUCCGAUUAGCUAGUUGGUGAGGUAAUGGCGCACCAAGGCGACGAUCGGUAGCUGGUCUGAGAGGAUGAUCAGCCACACUGGGACUGAGACACGGCCCAGACUCCUACGGGAGGCAGCAGUGGGAAUAUUGGACAAUGGGCGAAAGCCUGAUCCAGCAAUGCCGCGUGAGUGAUGAAGGCCUUAGGGUUGUAAAGCUCUUUCGGGUGGGACGAUGAUGACGGUACCACCAGAAGAAGCCCCGGCUAACUUCGUGCCAGCCGCCGCAGUAA